CCAAACCAUCCUAAAAGCUACCCCACCUUCCUUGUGAAACUCUAAGUUGUAAGAAUCUUAAGUAUGUACACAAUCACCAUCAAAGUCAACCCCGAGUUUAAACCACAACAUACCUUACUUCAUGAAGUUAAUAAAAGAUAGAACCUUGUUUAGAUGAAUGUGGUCACAAUGCACUUUCAUUUUAGCAAUAAUCGUGCCUUGCAUCAUUCAUACAAAAGCAUGGAAAAAUCUGAACUCUCUGCAUAUGCAUGUCAUGUAGAAGCUAAUAUCACUGACGGAACCUAUGAGCUCCACCCUACGCUAGAAGAGGAACCCACUACAACACUACAUCAUGCGGAAGUUGAGCCCAAGCUAGAUCAAGACCCCGAGG
Molecule: long non-coding RNA, 370 nt
Filed under: Setaria viridis
Lineage: Eukaryota; Viridiplantae; Streptophyta; Magnoliopsida; Poales; Poaceae
Description: long non-coding RNA (SVIR_LNC003252)
Source: RNAcentral